UCGAACGGCACGGACUUCGGUCUGGUGGCGAGUGGCGAACGGGUGAGUAAUGUAUCGGAACGUGCUGGUAGCAGAGGAUAACUACGCGAAAGCGUAGCUAAUACCGCAUACGCCCUUCGAAGGAAAGCGGGGGACGGGCCUCACUAUUAGAGCGGCCGAUAUCGGAUUAGCUAGUUGGUGGGGUAACGGCUCGCAAGGCUGACGAUCCGUAGCUGGUUUGAGAGAGGACGACCAGCCACACUGGGACUGAAGUGCGGCCCAGACUCCUACAGGAGGCAGCAGUGGGGAAUUUUGGGUUAAUGGGGAAACCUGAUCAGCCAUCCCGCGUGUGCGAUGAAGGCCUUCCGGGUUGUAAAAGCGCGGCGGGAAAGAAACGGCACGGGAUAACCCUGCCCCGUGCAACUGACGGACCUGCAGAAUAAGCACCGGCUAACUACGUGCCAGCAGCCUUGAUGGCCGUAGGUACAAGCGUUAAAUCGGAUUCACUGGAGCGUAAAGCGUGCGCAGGCGGUUCGGGAAAAGAAGAUGUGAAAUCCCAGAGCUUAACUUUGGAACUGCAUUUUUAACUACCGAGCUAGAGUGUCAGAGAGGGGUGGAAUUCCGCGUGUAGCAGUGAAAUGCGUAAUGAAUAUGCGGAGGAACACCGAUGGCGAAGGCAGCCUCCUGGGAUAACAUGACGCUCAUGCGAAAAGCGUGGGGAGCCGUGGAUUCAGAUACCUGGUGAUCCACGCCUGACGUCGUCAACUAGCUGUUGGGGCCUUCGGGCCUUGGUAGCGCAGCUAACGCGUGAAGUUGACCGCCUGGGGAAGCCACAGUCGCAAGAUUAAAACUCAAAGGAAUUGACGGGGACCCGCACAAGCGGUGGAUGAUGUGGAUUAAUUCGAUGCAACGCGAAAAACCUUACCUACCCAUGACAUGUCUGGAAUCCCGAAGAGAUUUGGGAGUGCUCGCAAAGGAACCGGAACACAGGUGCUACAUGGCUGUCGUCAGCUCGUGUCGUGAGAUGUUGGGUUAAGUCCCACCAACAGGCGCAACCCUUGUCAUUAGUUGCUACGAAAGGGCACUCUAAUGAGACUGCCGGUGACUCAGCCAGGAAGGUGGGAUGACGUCAAAGUCCUCCUUGGCCCUUAUGGGUGAGACACCGCACGUCAUACAAUGGUCGGGACAGAGGUCGCCAACCCGCGAGCCAAUCCCAGAAACCCGUCAUGGUCGGAUCGCAGUCUGCAACUCGACUGCGUGAAGUCGGAAUCGCUAGUAAUCGCGGAUCAGCAUGUCGCGGUGAAUACGUUCCCGGGUCUUGUACACACCGCCCGUCACCUUAGGGUGGGUUUUUCAAGUAGUUAGCCUAACCGUAAGGAGGCGAUUACCACAGUAGGAUUCAUGACUGGGGUGAAGUCGUAACAAGGUAA
This 1409-nucleotide ribosomal RNA is filed under the name uncultured Bordetella sp. Its description in RNAcentral is "partial 16S-23S ribosomal RNA intergenic spacer". It matches the Rfam family "Bacterial small subunit ribosomal RNA". The record is from RNAcentral. Lineage: Bacteria; Pseudomonadati; Pseudomonadota; Betaproteobacteria; Burkholderiales; Alcaligenaceae.